UGAGGAAUAUUGCACAAUGGGCGAAAGCCUGAUGCAGCAACGCCGCGUGAGGGACGAAGGCCUUCGGGUUGUAAACCUCUUUUCUGAGAGACGAGACAAGGACGGUACCUCAGGAAUAAGUCUCGGCUAACUACGUGCCAGCAGCCGCGGUAAGACGUAGGAGGCGAGCGUUAUCCGGAUUGACUGGGCGUAAAGCGCACGCAGGCGGCUUCGUUAGUCGGAUGUGAAAGCUCCUGGCUUAACCGGGAGAGGCCAUUCGAUACUGCGAGGCUUGAGGUUGGAAGAGGGGUGUGGAAUUCCCGGUGUAGUGGUGGAAUGCGUAGAUAUCGGGAGGAACACCUGUGGCGAAAGCGGCACCCUGGUCCACACCUGACGCUGAGGUGCGAAAGCGUGGGUAGCAAACAGG
Molecule: ribosomal RNA, 406 nt
Filed under: uncultured bacterium
Lineage: Bacteria
Description: bacterial SSU rRNA
Rfam family: Bacterial small subunit ribosomal RNA
Source: RNAcentral